Lepisosteus oculatus (spotted gar) is the source of this 3911-nucleotide non-coding RNA. The record is from RefSeq and is a predicted model, not a curated record. Lineage: Eukaryota; Metazoa; Chordata; Actinopteri; Semionotiformes; Lepisosteidae.
CAUUUCUGUUACUGAAGUGAGCGACAAGACCGGCUUGCGAAAUCGUGUGCUGUUCACCUAACUUGUAUGUCAGAAUUGGGAGGAAAUGGAAAAUGACACCUUAAAAUGCUUACGUCAAAAACAACACAUUGAAAUGCAUAUAUAUAAAAAAGAAGAGUUUCAAAUGGAAGCACUUUAAUAGAAGUAGUUUUUCCACUUAUUUAUUUGCUUUUGAGACGAAGGCAGGGACAGCGGACCAAAUAAGCUUUUAACACAGACAGCGCAAAGCGAAAGUAAAAUUAUUCAAGGAGCUACAGUAGCACUCAACCCUAUCUGCUGGCGAGAAACAAAAAUGUAGCUUGAAAUGUCUGUAGUCGCGCCUCCAGAACCAGAUAUUAAAUUAUAUUCUUUUGUUUUUGUUAUUAGAAUUUGGGGAUGGUAUUUCAGUCGUAAUCGUUCAGUUGAACUGUUACAGGUUUGACAUCCCGUGUUAAUUUACUGUUAGAAAAUUAGGGUUGUGGUUGCUUCCAGUUAAUGAAGAACAGAAUUUUUUAUGAUUGUAGAAUACAUUAAAUAAUAAACAAAGACUACACAGAAGUUGCUCCUCUAAAGUACAAGUGAGGUUUUUUAUAUGCCGUAUUAAAAGCUUUGCCAUUCCUUGAGAGAAAAGCCCUGCGCAAUAUUACUAAUAAUACUGCAGGAGAUUAAUCGAUGUAUUUAUAAAGUUAACAGUCGUGUUACAACAGCUGUUGAGAACUGCACCGUGGAACAAUACAAUUCAGUAGUGUCCCAAAUGGAGGGAUAUUUAUUUCCAUCAAUAUCCACCAAAGGGCGAUAAAUGUUUUUACUGGGUGUGUCCUCUGGCUGUUCAUGAGUCUUCUGUUCUUAUAUUUAUCUGUCCAUCCGUUUUCUAACCCCUUGUUCUGAUUCAGGGCCGUGGGGCAGGCGGAGCCUAUCCCAGCAGGCAACAGGUGCAAGGCAGGGGUACAUUCUAGAUGGGACGCCAGUGCGUUGCAAGGCACACACAGACACACUCACACCAGGAAAAAACAUAAACCCUAAGGAUUGAAUCCGGGGCCCCACCACUGCAAGGCAGCAAUGUCCUGUGCACGCUGAGCCACCUGAUCGUCUGCUGGAAUAUAGUCGUCGUCGCCCUAGGACUGCACUGUCCGCAGAGAGGGAGACUGCUCUGCACAGCUCGGCCUCAGAAAGGAGUGCACUAUCGCAGGGUUAGCUGGUACAGGGUAUUGGGUGAAAACCAGUUGUCGGGUUUGGUCUUGAAAGACCUCCUCAGCAACUGGACAAGACCCUACAUCCAUGUAAACCGAUCCUAUGAGAUUGAUGCCGAUUCCUCACUUGUCGUACCGCUGCCUAGAGCAGAGGAUGAGGGUCUGUACCGCUGUGUGCUCUGGGCACCAGUGGGAGAGCAGAUUCAGACAGGAGAUGCGCUUGUAUCUGUGCAUGGCUGUACUCUGCACCAGUCUCCUGCAGUGGACAUCCAGCGACGAGCAGCACUGAAGUUGCCGGACUCUGCUGAUGCGGUUUCAUGGUUGCUGCUGUUAGGUCUUCUAAUUGCCAUAACAUUAGCGGUGAGAAGGAGAGAAAAAACGGAUUCUCGCAUAAAGUGUUAGAAUUAUAAAUGCGUCAGUCCUGUGGGGUUAAAAUUAAAAUUGACUUGAAACAUUGCUUUUCUCUGUUUUUGUUUUUCUUCGCCAUUGAUAAAGUACAGGACGUAUCUUUCCCCUAAGGUUAGAAUGUGCCGUUUCUAAGUUACCACCUCUUACGGGAAACUAUGGGUAGUAAGAAGCUGUUUAAAUGUCAGCAGAAAUGUAUGCCACUAAGUCCGUUUGCUGCACUCGGUCAUAUUUUCCUCCAACCUCAACAGAAAAGCCGUCCUCAGGAAGUUACCCUAUUCUAAGAGCAAGAUAAUCAACAAGAGGGACAGUAUGUGGGCAGUUAUAGGCAACCGCAGAUGGCAAUUUUGUAUAGGUUUUAGGAAAUGUCGGAAAACAAAAUCUAAGAACGCAAGACACAGCGCGACAGAGUUGCCCCCUCUCGAUGCGGAAAUGUUGGACUUGCUCUCCUGAAUGAUUUAUUCUCCAGCUCAGUAAGACGCUGGGCAAAGAGAAGAGCCGGGAUUCGGGAAUGAUGCGAGUCUCAUUUGCAGCGGGGUGCGACCACUGCGCUCCAGUCCAAAUAACAGGACAAGACAAAUGCGCCAAGAGGAAAUGGGCAUCACUUAAACCCCAGUCCUGUGCGCUUUAUACUACAGAGAAAAACAGGGGAAGAGAGGAAAUAGAUUCUGUGAGAGCGACACGGAGAAUGAGGGAUUCUCGAAGCUUUUGCAGAUGCAGCUGUUUGAACAAAUCUGAAAAGUCAGAAACCCUUCUUAUUCCGCCCACCGUUACUUAUUUUUGGUUGAUGACAAAUUCACAUCCCCCUAUACCACCUACUUUGUAUAAUUAAAAAAAACAGGUAAUAAAGACAAGAAACGUGUUACGCUGAGGUUAUCGAGUUUUUGGCACGGAAGAUAGCAUUCACAGGUCCCGCUCUGCUUCCAGUGUGGGCCGUUUCCUAUGGCAUUUUUUAAAAUUAAAUUCGCUGCGAUUCUGUGUGUGGCUGUGGUGCUCCAGAGACCAUUCAGCAAAGCCCAGGAUCUGGUUGUGGCUGAUUGCAAUACAGAGGCCACUCUGCCUUGCACUGCUGUCCAGAGAGCCACCCAGUACCGAUCUGUCCACUGGUAUAAGGUUGAUGGCAACCGGACAGGGAUUCUCAGGAAGACGAAUAACAAAGUGAGUCUCUACGCCUCGGCAAAGGAGGCCAAACUUGGUCCUGGAGAAGCUCUUGUCCUUCCCAGUGUCAAACCUGAGGAGUCAGGGAUCUAUCAGUGUUCCCUCUACGCAGUACUGGGGCACCGAAAUCAGGACUCACUCAUCACUUUGAAAGUGGAAGAGUGUGUGACGUCCAUCAUGUCCACCACUGUUCCUGUUCAACAGCGGAUCACAACUGUCUUGACUGGGGAAGAGAACUCCACUGAGCUGUGUGACCAGGUGAUACUGCUGCCAUCCUUUGUGGUGGUCUCUGGUUUCACAGCUGUGGGCCUGCUGAAGACAGCACUUUCCUUUGCCUGUGUUGCGGUAUUUCUGAAGAUCUGCGAGAAGCGAGAAAAGAGGAUGGAAAGACAAUAUUGGAGAUAGAGUGGGCAUGGCCUCAGGACAAUGUAGACACUAGUCUCAUCUAGCACAGUCACAGCCAGCACCGACACUGGAGUCAACAGCAAACAGAAUGGUCAAGCCCUCGGAAGACAAUGAGCUGUGAAACAGGAGAUGAACAGUUGACACACACAUGAAAAGCCAGGACAGGCAGAGGGGAGACUGUGGUCUACUACACAGUGAUGAAACUCAUCCUCUUUUUUUUUCAAUACCUUAAAACAGUCAUAUCCAGGUGACCCCCCUGGCAAAUUUAAGACAUUUCCAUGAAUAUUAUGCAAAACUUCCCACAGGCUGGUUACUUUAAAAAUAUUGUAGGCUGUGUGGCAAAACAAUACAGAACCUCCUCAAAACUCUCAGUUAAAGACAGGACAUCAUUGAUAUACAGUUCUUUUGUUUUUUCACAGAGGAUGAGUGUAACAUUUGCAUUCUUUUUGUCUGUGCUUAGCAGCUAUAUUAGUGUCAUGGUAGUCUGAAAUUAUAUUGUGUAGGUUGUGUGGGAAUGUAAAUAUUACGAUAUUACUAAUUACAGUAACAUUAUUACAUUGCAGUCUGAAUAAAUAUUACUAAGGUUUAACUUUGUUUUAGGAUUCUAUUUAUUAGUUUCUUUUAAUCUCAUCUGUAACUUUUAAUACUGUUUUCAGAAUGUGUAUACUAAAUAAACUGUAUAUGUUGUAUAUACUGUACACUGUAUUGUGUAACAUGUAGUUGCUCAUUAAACUG